This 437-nucleotide ribosomal RNA is filed under the name Nemania sp. genotype 197. RNAcentral describes it as "eukaryotic LSU rRNA". It matches the Rfam family "Eukaryotic large subunit ribosomal RNA", at positions 1 to 434 of the family's 3401-position model. Lineage: Eukaryota; Fungi; Ascomycota; Sordariomycetes; Xylariales; Xylariaceae. The record is from RNAcentral.
UAUAGGUUGACCUCGGAUCAGGUAGGAAUACCCGCUGAACUUAAGCAUAUCAAUAAGCGGAGGAAAAGAAACCAACAGGGAUUGCCCUAGUAACGGCGAGUGAAGCGGCAACAGCUCAAAUUUGAAAUCUGGCCCUCGGGUCCGAGUUGUAAUUUGCAGAGGAUGCUUUUGGCGCGGUGCCUUCCGAGUUCCCUGGAACGGGACGCCUUAGAGGGUGAGAGCCCCGUACGGUUGGACACCAAGCCUCUGUAAAGCUCCUUCGACGAGUCGAGUAGUUUGGGAAUGCUGCUCUAAAUGGGAGGUAAAUUUCUUCUAAAGCUAAAUAUUGGCCAGAGACCGAUAGCGCACAAGUAGAGUGAUCGAAAGAUGAAAAGCACUUUGAAAAGAGGGUUAAACAGCACGUGAAAUUGUUGAAAGGGAAGCGUUUGCGACCAGAC